Molecule: ribosomal RNA, 273 nt
Filed under: uncultured bacterium
Lineage: Bacteria
Description: partial 16S ribosomal RNA
Rfam family: Bacterial small subunit ribosomal RNA
Source: RNAcentral
CGGUGACGGAGGAGCUUGCUCUUCCUGAUCAGUGGCGAACGGGUGAGUAACACGUGGGCAACCUGCCCCUGACUUUGGGAUAACGCUUCGAAAGAGGUGCUAAUACCGGAUAUGAGCCUCCUUGGCAUCUGGGGGGCUGGAAAGUUUUUCGGUCAGGGAUGGGCCCGCGGCCUAUCAGCUUGUUGGUGAGGUAAUGGCUCACCAAGGCGACGACGGGUAGCCGGCCUGAGAGGGCGACCGGCCACACUGGGACUGAGACACGGCCCAGACUCC